GACUCUCGGCAAUGGAUAUCUCGGCUCUUGCAUCGAUGAAGAGCGCAGCGAAAUGCGAUACGUGGGGCGAAUUGCAGAACCCCGCGAACCAUCGAGUCUUUGAACGCAAGUUGCGCCCGAGGGCAGCCGGCCAGGGCACGCUCGCCUGGGCGUCAAGCGUCGCGUCGCUCCGUGCC
Molecule: ribosomal RNA, 176 nt
Filed under: Lockhartia lunifera
Lineage: Eukaryota; Viridiplantae; Streptophyta; Magnoliopsida; Asparagales; Orchidaceae
Description: partial 5.8S ribosomal RNA
Rfam family: 5.8S ribosomal RNA (bases 1-155)
About the family: 5.8S ribosomal RNA (5.8S rRNA) is a component of the large subunit of the eukaryotic ribosome.
Source: RNAcentral